GACGAACGCUGGCGGCGUGCUUAACACAUGCCAGUUGAACGGAAAGGCCCUGCUUUUGUGGGGUGCUCGAGUGGCACACGUGUGUGUCACACGUGAGUAACCUGCCCUUGACUUUGGGAUACCUUCAGGAAACUGGGGCUCAUACCGGAUAGGAGCUCCUGCUGCAUGGUGGGGGUUGGACAGUUUCGGCGGUUGGGGAUGGACUCGCGGCUUAUCAGCUUGGUGGUGGGGUAGUGGUUUACCAAGGCUUUGACGGGUAGCUGGCCUGAUAGGGUGACCGGCUACAUCAGCACGGAGAUACGGCCCAUACUCCUACGUGAGGCAGCAGUGGGGAUGAUAGCACGAGGGUCGGAAUCCUGAUGCAGCAACGCCGCGUGCGGGAGGACGGCCUGCGGAUUGUAAACCGCUUUCGCCGGUGACGAAGCGUGAGUGACGGUAAUGAGUAAAUAAGCACCGGCUAGCUACGUG
This 468-nucleotide ribosomal RNA is filed under the name uncultured bacterium. RNAcentral's name for it is "partial 16S ribosomal RNA". It matches the Rfam family "Bacterial small subunit ribosomal RNA", at positions 28 to 507 of the family's 1533-position model. The record is from RNAcentral.